This 1083-nucleotide ribosomal RNA is filed under the name Amaga expatria. RNAcentral's name for it is "partial large subunit ribosomal RNA". It matches the Rfam family "Eukaryotic large subunit ribosomal RNA", at positions 386 to 1317 of the family's 3401-position model. Lineage: Eukaryota; Metazoa; Platyhelminthes; Tricladida; Geoplanidae. The record is from RNAcentral.
CUUAGAGGUAAACGAGUGGAGCCGAAAUUGUUCUACGGGAUUCAGUUGGGUGAAUGAUAAUGAUUGAACCAGUGAAAAUCUUAACCGAUAUCACAGAUUCGAUAUGUUUAUUGUACGCACAAUGCACUUUCUGUUGGACAAAACUGUGACCAAUAGUGUGGUUUUAUUGUCGUAAUGUUGAAGGUGACCGAUUGCUUGCAAUCGGUUUUAUAGCUCAUUACAUGGUAAAAUUGAUGUAUUGGUGAAUUUGCAAUCAGUCAAUAUUGGCAAUAUACGAUACAUGUGAUUUGGUAGUAGACUAGACAUAGACUAUUAUCAAUGUCGUGUGUGUCGUGUAAUGUUGAUGGAUUGGUUUAAAGUCACAGUAUAAUGUAGGUUAUCUACUCGUCCCGUCUUGAAACACGGACCAAGGAGUUUUAUAUGAUCGCGAGUCAAAGGGCUAUACGAAACCCCAGGGCGUAAUUAAUGUGAAAGUUUACUUUAAGUAGACUGUGAUGUGACCUGAUAUUACCUGUCAGUGCAACAUCGACCCGUCUAAAGAUGUUCGCAUCUGGGCGGAGUUUGAGCGAUCAUGUAGAGACCCGAAAGAUGGUGAACUAUGCUUGUGCAGGUUGAAGUCAGAGGAAACUCUGAUGGAGGACCGCCGCGGUUCUGACGUGCAAAUCGAUCGUCGGACAUGAGUAUAGGGGCGAAAGACUAAUCGAACCAUCUAGUAGCUGGUUCCCUCCGAAGUUUCCCUCAGGAUAGCUGGCGUUUGUUGUCGUAGUUUAACCUGGUAAAGCGAAUGAUUAGAAGUAUUGGGGGUGAAAUGCCCUCAACUUAUUCUCAAACUUUAAAUGGGUUCGAUGUGUAGCUCGCUUCAUUGGAGUUACACGUUGAAUACGAAUGCCUAGUGGGCCAUUUUUGGUAAGCAGAACUGGCGAUGUGGGAUGAACCAAACAUUCGGUUAAGGUGCCUAACAUCACGCUCAUGAGAUCCCACAAAAGGUGUUGGUUGAUAAAGACAGCAGGACGGUGGACAUGGAAGUCGUCAUCCGCUAAGGAGUGUGUAACAACUCACCUGCCGAAUCAACCAGCCCUGAAA